CCUACGGGGGACUGCAGUAGGGAAUCUUCCACAAUGGGCGAAAGCCUGAUGGAGCAACGCCGCGUGGGUGAAGAAGGUCUUCGGAUCGUAAAACCCUGUUGUUAGAGAAGAAAGUGCGUGAGAGUAACUGUUCACGUUUCGACGGUAUCUAACCAGAAAGCCACGGCUAACUACGUGCCAGCAGCCGCGGUAAUACGUAGGUGGCAAGCGUUAUCCGGAUUUAUUGGGCGUAAAGGGAACGCAGGCGGUCUUUUAAGUCUGAUGUGAAAGCCUUCGGCUUAACCGGAGUAGUGCAUUGGAAACUGGGAGACGUGAGUGCAGAAGAGGGGAGUGGAACUCCAUGUGGAGCGGUGAAAUGCGUAGAUAUAUGGAAGAACACCAGUGGCGAAGGCGGCUCUCUGGUCUGUAACUGACGCUGAGGUUCGAAAGCGUGGGUAGCAAACAGGAUUAGAUACCCUUGUAGUC
RNAcentral lists this ribosomal RNA (465 nucleotides) under uncultured bacterium. Its description in RNAcentral is "partial 16S ribosomal RNA". It matches the Rfam family "Bacterial small subunit ribosomal RNA", at positions 338 to 795 of the family's 1533-position model. The record is from RNAcentral.